CCUACGGGAGGCAGCAGUGAGGAAUAUUGGUCAAUGGACGAGAGUCUGAACCAGCCAAGUAGCGUGAAGGAUGACUGCCCUAUGGGUUGUAAACUUCUUUUAUAUGGGAAUAAAACGUUCCACGUGUGGGAUUUUGUAUGUACCAUAUGAAUAAGGAUCGGCUAACUCCGUGCCAGCAGCCGCGGUAAUACGGAGGAUCCGAGCGUUAUCCGGAUUUAUUGGGUUUAAAGGGAGCGUAGGUGGAGUGUUAAGUCAGUUGUGAAAGUUUGCGGCGCAACCGUAAAAUUGCAGUUGAAACUGGCAGUCUUGAGUACAGUAGAGGUGGGCGGAAUUCGUGGUGUAGCGGUGAAAUGCUUAGAUAUCACGAAGAACUCCGAUUGCGAAGGCAGUUCACUGGACUGAAACUGACACUGAGGCUCGAAAGUGUGGGUAUCAAACAGGAUUAGAUACCCCUGUAGUC
RNAcentral lists this ribosomal RNA (460 nucleotides) under uncultured bacterium. RNAcentral's name for it is "partial 16S ribosomal RNA". It matches the Rfam family "Bacterial small subunit ribosomal RNA", at positions 338 to 795 of the family's 1533-position model. The record is from RNAcentral.